AUACUUACUUGGCAGGUGUGGUACCACGAUAUUGAAGAUGAUUUUACCAGUGUGUGGUUUAUUCAUUGUAAACCAUAUGAUCCCCAACAUUUCUUCACAUGCAGAAAAUUAAACUGCAUAAUUUGUUGUCGUAGGGAAUUGCGUUUGCAUUUCCCCUGG
This is a small nuclear RNA of Sceloporus undulatus (fence lizard), 159 nucleotides long. RefSeq annotates it as U1 spliceosomal RNA. The record is from RefSeq and is a predicted model, not a curated record. NCBI's taxonomy places the organism in Eukaryota, Metazoa, Chordata, Lepidosauria, Squamata, Phrynosomatidae. The transcript has a single exon.